Molecule: ribosomal RNA, 440 nt
Filed under: uncultured bacterium
Lineage: Bacteria
Description: partial 16S ribosomal RNA
Rfam family: Bacterial small subunit ribosomal RNA
Source: RNAcentral
CCUACGGGGAGCAGCAGUGAGGGAUAUUGGUCAAUGGGGGAAACCCUGAACCAGCAACGCCGCGUGAGGGAAGACGGUUUUCGGAUUGGAAACCUCUGUCCUCUGUGAAGAUAAUGACGGUAGCAGAGGAGGAAGCUCCGGCUAACUACGUGACAGCAGCCGCGGUAAUACGUAGGGAGCGAGCGUUGUCCGGAUUUACUGGGUGUAAAGGGUGCGUAGGCGGGUAAGCAAGUCAGGAGUGAAAUCCAUGGGCUUAACCCAUGAACUGCUGUUGAAACUGGUUAUCUUGAGUGAGGUAGAGGUAGGCGGAAUGCGCGGUGUAGCGGUGAAAUGCGUAGAGAUCGCGAAGAACACCGAUGGCGAAGGCAGCAUACUGGGGUUGAACUGACGCUGAGGCACGAAAGCGUGGGUAGCGAACAGGAUUAGAUACCCGGGUAGUC